This is a non-coding RNA of Miniopterus natalensis, 1287 nucleotides long. Lineage: Eukaryota; Metazoa; Chordata; Mammalia; Chiroptera; Miniopteridae. The record is from RefSeq and is a predicted model, not a curated record.
GACAGGAGCGGGCGGGCGAGCCCACCUCCCGGCACUGGAUUUGUUCUGAAAUGACCACCCUCCCCAAGAUGAUUUCUUACUGUGACUGCAUCUUUUCACCUGGAUUUUUUCUACCUCUACCACAAAAAUCAGGAUAAACAAGUAAAAGAAAAAAAUGUAACCAGCUGAGACCAAACACCACCACCAGGCAGUGUAUUUUUUAAUUCUCCAGCACCUUUACUGAAAAAAAAACUGAAAUUUGGACAAUGACCUCUAUAUAUCAGUUUUAUAAAGUAAAAUUACUCAUUGUAUUCUCUAUUUCUAGGCAAUGUUUUAUUUGUAUUUUGUAAAAUGAAUUUUAAAUUACUCAUUUCAAUAUGUUAAGGGAAAAAUAACUAAUUGUGUUUCAUCUCAUCAUCAAAUAGUAUUGGGCUUCCCCCUUACAGAGUGCUAGUGGCUCCAUCAGUCCCUCAUGCUAUUGAGUUAUUCGUCUAUCCAGUUAAAAAUUGUGCUGACAUUUUACAUACAGUGCGAGUGGGUCCAAAACCAAAAGGGAUCACAGAAGUGCUCUUUCUUCUCCCACUUAAAGUCCUGAAACCUAAACACCGUUAAAAAAAAAAAAAUCUACAAGUCUUAAAUAAGUAAAAAAAAAAAAAAAAGGUUCAACUCUAAGAAUCAUUAAUAAUUUGUUGAAAGAACCAAUUUUGAAAACCAGAAUUUAAAAACACACACAACACAACCUGUGCAGACAAAGGGCCUCAAAGUCUUUGGAUUCUGAAGAGAAAGUACAACCAUCAUCCUUCAGGCUGUCCCUCAUAUUCUGAAGCAUUGUGCUAUGUGCUUAGUAGGCACACGAUAUCCUACAGUGAGCCCCUCUUCGGCUUAGUCAAUAAUACCCAAAGGACCUCCAAAUAAAAAGCUAUUUCCCUACUAUUAGAAUUAUGCUCACAAUUCUUAAAACUGUUACAGCUUAUAAAAUGCUUUGUUUUCUGUAAGUUUUUUAUAUGUUGGGAAGCUGCUCCAAAAUAUAUAGUCUCUGAAGGCAUCUUUAAAUCAUUGUAUUAAUAGAAUAAAUUGAGUCCAAAUAAGGAUCAGAAACACAGAGGAAUGGAGAGAUAUUUUCCUUACAUCAAAUUAUCCCUGGAGGUAAGGCAAAAUGACCUGCAUUUGCAACAGGAAUUUACUGCACCUCCGUAUCUUGACACUCAACUCUUCUAAGCAACGUGAUAGUUUUAUUUUUUCACGUUAGAUCCAUAAAUUCACUGUACUUUUAAAUAGUGUUUUAGUAUAUAAAACAACCUGUUAAAA